CACCGCGGUUAUACGAGUGACACACAUUAAUACUCCACGGCGUAAAGGGUGAUUUAAAAACUUCUUAAUAUCAUUAAAGUUAAAACUUUAUAUAGCUGUCAUACGCACCCAUAAACAAGAAACUCACUAACGAAGGUGACUUUAUAAAAACUGAUUUUUUGACCUCACGACAAUUAAAACCCAAACUAGGAUUAGAUACCCUACUAUGUUUAAUUAUAAAUAGAUAAAUAUUUACUUCCUCAUCCGCCUGAGAACUACAAGCGCUAGCUUAAAACCCAAAGGACUUGGCGGCACUUCAGAUCUACCUAGAGGAGCCUGUUCUAUAACCGAUAAUCCACGUUAAACCCCUCCACUCCUUGCCUUAUAACCGCCUAUAUACCGCCGUCGCCAGCUCACCCUAUGAAGGAAUAAAAGUAAGCAAAAUGAACAUAAACUAUUCAACACGUCAGGUCGAGGUGUAGCGAAUGAAGUGGAAAGAAAUGGGCUACAUUUUCUUUUAAGAAAAAUCACGGAUAAUAAAUGAAAAACAAUUAAUAAGGUGGAUUUAACAGUAAGAAUAAAUAAGAAUUUUAUACUGAAGCCAGCUCUGAAGCGCGCACACACCGCCCGUCACUCUCCUCAAAACAAAAUUUACUUAAAUAAAAAAAUUAUAAACACAAGAGGAGGCAAGUCGUAA
RNAcentral lists this ribosomal RNA (676 nucleotides) under Torpedo sinuspersici (variable torpedo ray). Its description in RNAcentral is "partial 12S ribosomal RNA". Lineage: Eukaryota; Metazoa; Chordata; Chondrichthyes; Torpediniformes; Torpedinidae. The record is from RNAcentral.